RNAcentral lists this ribosomal RNA (339 nucleotides) under Scutellastra cochlear. RNAcentral's name for it is "partial 16S ribosomal RNA". It matches the Rfam family "Archaeal large subunit ribosomal RNA", at positions 2015 to 2589 of the family's 2987-position model. The record is from RNAcentral. Lineage: Eukaryota; Metazoa; Mollusca; Gastropoda; Patellidae.
UAUCCUGACUGCGUGAAAGUAGCAUAAUAAUUUGCCUUUUAAUUGGUGGCUGGUAUCAACGGUAUCAUGAGGGUGAAGCUGUCUCUUAUUUAUUCUAUUGAAUUUACCUACUAGGUGNAAAGGCCUAGAUAAUUUUAUAAGACAAGNAGACCCUGUCAAGCUUUACAAAACUAAAAUUUAUUCUAUGUCUUUGUUUGGUUGGGGCAACCGGGGGGCACAUAAAAUCCCUCCUUUUUUCCUGCCUUUUAGGGAUGAUCCGCAUUAGCGAUCUAAGGGAAAAGCUACUGCAGGGAUAACAGNGUAAUUUUUCUUUGUGAGUCCUUAUUUUAAGNAAGUUUG